Molecule: ribosomal RNA, 279 nt
Filed under: uncultured bacterium
Lineage: Bacteria
Description: partial 16S ribosomal RNA
Rfam family: Bacterial small subunit ribosomal RNA
Source: RNAcentral
UGCCAGCAGCCGCGGUAAUACGAACUGUGCGAACGUUAUUCGGAAUCACUGGGCUUAAAGGGUGCGUAGGCGGUCUCGUAGGUCAGGUGUGAAAUCCCGGAGCUCAACUCCGGAACUGCCUUCAAAACUACAUAGCUAGAGAAUGCGAGAGGUGAGCGGAAUUCCGAGUGUAGAGGUGAAAUUCGUAGAUAUUCGGAAGAACACCAGUGGCGAAGGCGGCUCACUGGCGCAUUACUGACGCUGAGGUGCGAAAGCGUGGGGAGCAAACAGGAUUAGAUA